CCUACGGGAGGCAGCAGUGGGGAAUAUUGGACAAUGGGCGCAAGCCUGAUCCAGCCAUGCCGCGUGGAUGAUGAAGGCCCUAGGGUUGUAAAGUCCUUUCGGCGGGGAAGAUAAUGACGGUACCCGCAGAAGAAGCCCCGGCUAACUUCGUGCCAGCAGCCGCGGUAAU
This 169-nucleotide ribosomal RNA is filed under the name uncultured bacterium. Its description in RNAcentral is "partial 16S ribosomal RNA". It matches the Rfam family "Bacterial small subunit ribosomal RNA", at positions 338 to 524 of the family's 1533-position model. The record is from RNAcentral.